ACGGAAGGCAGCAGUGGGGAAUAUUGGGCAAUGGGCGCAAGCCUGACCCAGCAAUGCCGCGUGAAGGAAGAAGGCUUUCGGGUUGUAAACUUCUUUUAGGUGGGACGACAAUGACGGUACCACUUGAAUAAGCUCCGGCUAACUACGUGCCAGCAGCCGCGGUAAUACGUAGGGAGCAAGCGUUAUCCGGAUUUACUGGGUGUAAAGGGCGCGUAGGCGGGAUAGCAAGUCAGAUGUGAAAUCUAUGGGCUCAACCCAUAAACUGCACUUGAGACUGUUAUUCUUGAGUGUCGGAGAGGUAGAUGGAAUUCCUAGUGUAGCGGUGAAAUGCGUAGAUAUUAGGAGGAACACCAGUGGCGAAGGCGAUCUACUGGACGAUAACUGACGCUGAGGCGCGAAAGCGUGGGGAGCAAACAGGAUUAGAUACCCUGGUA
Molecule: ribosomal RNA, 434 nt
Filed under: uncultured Oscillospiraceae bacterium
Lineage: Bacteria; Bacillati; Bacillota; Clostridia; Eubacteriales; Oscillospiraceae
Description: bacterial SSU rRNA
Rfam family: Bacterial small subunit ribosomal RNA
Source: RNAcentral